This 253-nucleotide ribosomal RNA is filed under the name uncultured bacterium. Its description in RNAcentral is "partial 16S ribosomal RNA". It matches the Rfam family "Bacterial small subunit ribosomal RNA", at positions 524 to 776 of the family's 1533-position model. The record is from RNAcentral.
UACGAAGGUGGCAAGCGUUGUUCGGAUUUACUGGGCGUACAGGGAGCGUAGGCGGUUGGAUAAGCCCUCCGUGAAAUCUCCAGGCUUAACCUGGAAAGUGCAGAGGGGACUGUUCAGCUAGAGGAUGGGAGAGGAGCGCGGAAUUCCCGGUGUAGCGGUGAGAUGCGUAGAGAUCGGGAGGAAGGCCGGUGGCGAAGGCGGCGCUCUGGAACAUUUCUGACGCUGAGGCUCGAAAGCGUGGGGAGCAAACAGG